CGUGUAGGCGGACUCGCAAGUCGGUUGUGAAAUCCCUGGGCUCAACCUAGGAACUGCAUCCGAAACUGCUUGUCUUGAGUAAUGGAGAAGGUGGCGGAAUUCCCGGUGUAGAGGUGAAAUUCGUAGAUAUCGGGAGGAACAUCAGUGGCGAAGGCGGCCACCUGGACAUUUACUGACGCUGAGACGCGAAAGCGUGGGGAGCAAACA
RNAcentral lists this ribosomal RNA (207 nucleotides) under uncultured bacterium. RNAcentral's name for it is "partial 16S ribosomal RNA". It matches the Rfam family "Bacterial small subunit ribosomal RNA", at positions 568 to 774 of the family's 1533-position model. The record is from RNAcentral.